UCUUCGGUGAUGAUUAAUACAGUGACUUUCGUUCUUCUGAAUUUUCUGAAGCCACUAUUUCUGUCCUGAGAAGA
Molecule: small nucleolar RNA, 74 nt
Filed under: Cynoglossus semilaevis (tongue sole)
Lineage: Eukaryota; Metazoa; Chordata; Actinopteri; Pleuronectiformes; Cynoglossidae
Description: Small nucleolar RNA SNORD59 (ENSCSEG00000020959.1)
Rfam family: Small nucleolar RNA SNORD59
About the family: U59 belongs to the C/D class of snoRNA which contain the C (UGAUGA) and D (CUGA) box motifs. Most of the members of the box C/D family function in directing site-specific 2'-O-methylation of substrate RNAs.
Source: Rfam by way of RNAcentral